RNAcentral lists this ribosomal RNA (545 nucleotides) under Triops granarius. Its description in RNAcentral is "partial 12S ribosomal RNA". Lineage: Eukaryota; Metazoa; Arthropoda; Branchiopoda; Notostraca; Triopsidae. The record is from RNAcentral.
AGAGAGCGACGGGCGAUGUGUACACACUUCAGAGCUAAUUUCAAACAAGAAUUAUAUUCUCAAUUUACUUCUAAAUCCACCUUUAUAAUAUAACUACAUAUAUUAAUCCGUAUAAAUUCAAUUUAUUGUAACCCACUUCUCCCAUAUUUAUAGGCUGCACCUUGACCUGAAGUCUUAGAUCUAAACUAAUUAGAUUAUAUUUUUUAAAAAUAAUCUGACAACGGCGGUAUACAAACUGAAAACAAAAAUAUGUACAUUUAAACGAGGAUUAUCGAUCCAAGAGCAGGUUCCUCUAGUAAGAAUAAAGUACCGCCAAAUUCUUUAGGUUUAAAUAAUUUUACUACCCCAGCAAUUAAUUCAAUAAAGAAUAAUAGGGUAUCUAAUCCUAGUUUAAGUCUUUAUUUAAAAAGAUAAUAAAUUCUCAAAAAGUUUUUAAUUUAAAAAAAUAAAAAUUUUACCUUUAAUUUUUUACCCAAAAAAUUUAUCUAAAAACUAAUAUUUACUUAAUUCCACCAAACUACUUCAUUCAGAUCCUUCGUAUAACC